AGGCAGAUAGAAAUCCUAAGUACACCAAAGUGGGAAGUGCUACAAAUUAAAUUGCUUUUAUUCCUGUGGAUAAUUUUCUUUCCCUGUUUUAACAUAUUUAUGCCUUCUAUUUCCUAACACUUUGUAAAGGAACUGAUUAUGAAAUCAGAAAACCUGGGUUUUUCCUCUUAAUGUGACUUAGCUGCUGUCAGAGUUUCCUCAUCUGCAAAAUGAGGGAGUUAGAGUACAGUGGACACUCCAUUAUCCUCUCUAGCAUCAUCCCCUGAGUGCAGGCAGGCACUCUUUCAGGGAUCUGUUGACAGUCCCUAUUUUAUUUUUAGGUGCCAACCCAGCCUUUCCCCUCCUUUUCUAGAACUUUUGUGUACAGAAAGUGAAGGUGGGGCUGGGCACCACAGUGAGAGCUCGUCUCUCAAAAAAAAAAAAAAAAAAAAAAAAAAAAAAAAGCCGGGCAUUGUGGUGUGUGCCUGUGGUUCCAGCUAGUCGGGAGGCUGAGGCGGGAGGAUUGCUUGAGCCCAGGAGUUGGAGGCUGCAGUGAACUAGGAUUGUGCCACUGCACUCCAACCUGGGCGACAGAAUGAGACCCUGUAUUUAAAAAAAAAGAAAAGAGGGCCAGGCACAGUGGCUCAUGCCUGUAAUCCCAGCACUUUGGGAGGCCGAGGUAGGUGGAUACCUGAAGUCAGGAGUUCAAGACCAGCCUGGCCAACGCGGUGAAACACCAUCUCUACUAAAAAUACAAAAAUUAGCUGGAUGUGGUGGUGCAUGCCUAUAAUUCCAGCUACUCAGGAGGCUGAGGCAGGAAAAUCGCUUGAACCCAGGAGGUGGAGGUUGCAGUGAGCUGAGAUCGCACCACUGCAAUCCACCCUGGGCGACAGAGCGAGACUCAGUCUCAAAAAAAAAGAAAAGAAGGUGAAGGUGGCUAAAUAGCAUAACAUGUCAGAGAUUUAACAUGUCAGAGAUUUCCACAUGUUAUCAAGUCUGUUUCAUGGCUAAGAACUGGAAGGGACCUUUGAGGACAUCUAAUCCUCAUAGGACUUAACAAUAGGAUGAGGAAACAAGCUCAGAAAUAGGCUAUAACUUGCCCAAGGCACUCAGAGAGGGAAUGCCAGAGCCAGGGCCAGCUCUCAACUUCAGGCCAGAGAAGCGCAGGGUCUUCCAUGAGAAAUAGGGCCUGUCAGACUGGACAGGCUCCUUGGAGGUGGUCCAGUGAGUCCAAUCCCUUUUUUUUGCCGCGGCUUAGACGAGGGGCCGCUGAGGAUUCUCAGAAUUCGCUGGAUCUGGACCCAGACUUCCGGCUCCGCAGUGCAGCCUGAAUGAUCAACAGGGGAAUGUGCGUUCGCCAGGGUCCCCGGGGGUAGAGGCACCUCUCCCUGUGCGGGGCCGGGGAUAUUACUCAACACGGGUCUUAGGUGUCUGGGCUGCUGGGGUCUCCUCCACGGACAGGAGCCACGGCCAGGACUUGCAGGCCGCCCCCUGCUGGUCCGUCUCGGAACCGGGCAGGUGGCCGCGGCGCUGCCUGGGUUGGGGGCAUGGCCUUACAACGGUGAGCCAAUCCCAGGCCGCACCGUGGAUAGGGGCGGGCGUUCGCUUCUCCUCCCCGUCCCUUGGUUCUCUUCGCGGCGGAAGCUGUGCGGCGACCUAGCAACCGUCCUUGCCGACCCUCCCGCCGGUGACUUGGCUGCGACCCGCCCUUCUUGCCACAGCCCUUUGGAAAGCGAAGGUCCCUUCAGGGCCAAAAGGACAGGGAGGUUUUUUCCUUCCUUCCUUCCCUCCCUCCUUCCCUCCUUCCCUUUCUUUCUUUCCUUUCUUUUUCUUUCUUUCCACAGAGUCUGACUCAAUCACCCAUGCUGCAGUGUAGUAUCAUGAUCCGCUCACUGAAGCCUCUGCCUCCCGGGUUCAAGCGAUUCUCCCAACUCAGCCUCCCAAGUAGCUGUACAGCCUGUGGAUCCAGUAUGUUACAGUGACAGUCUCCUCCCUCUUUCAUUUCCCGUCUGCAUUUCUUCUUUAAUUACUGAAGCCCUCAAAAUUAUCUUUGGAGAAAAUGACAAACUACACUCCUUCUGUGAUUCUGUGUUGCUUUCUUCUGGUCAUAGUCCUUAACCUUGGCAAAAUAAACUUCUAGAUUGAUUGA
Molecule: long non-coding RNA, 2128 nt
Organism: Symphalangus syndactylus (siamang)
Lineage: Eukaryota; Metazoa; Chordata; Mammalia; Primates; Hylobatidae
Source: RefSeq, a predicted model, not a curated record